RNAcentral lists this long non-coding RNA (541 nucleotides) under Daucus carota (carrot). Its description in RNAcentral is "long non-coding RNA (DCAR_LNC001852)". Lineage: Eukaryota; Viridiplantae; Streptophyta; Magnoliopsida; Apiales; Apiaceae. The record is from RNAcentral.
UCCAACCAGAAGGGUCUACUAGUUUUCAGAAGACCCUUCAACAAAAUCACAGAUUUGAUCCAGAAAAGCGAAAUUGACACGGAAAUUAAUCGUUGGCCUUAUAAAUGUCUCACCAUCACCUAAUAUGUAAGCAAAAUAGGAACAAGAUCAAAUCCUUCACCUAAUAAAGAAAAAACUUAAAAAAGAAAAAUUACAAUCUUCAAACUUAACUAAGAUAUAUGAAAUAUUUAAGAUAUUAUUGAAGGAGUGAAGUUGAUGAAAACCCAAGUAAAUAUGAAUCAAGUAGAGUGAUUGCUUAUUGAUUAAGCGGUCAAUGGGGUGAUGUUAUUGUAAUAAUUGGUGUGUGAAAUUGAAUACGCAUAAGUAAAUAGGCAAGUAGGUAAGAGAUGAGAUGGAGAGAAAGUGAAGUACCUGGAGAUGGUAAGAGAUGAGAUGGGGUGGGAAGCAAUAAUAAGAGAGAACGUAAGAGUUGUGUUUUGUUUGGGGGCGGAAACAGGCAAAGAUUCACUGUGUCCAGUUGUUGUUCACCGACCACAUUAAC